AAGUCGUAACAAGGUUUCCGUAGGUGAACCUGCGGAAGGAUCAUUAGAGAAACGAGGCAAAGGGCGGCCCAACCGCCGCCCGGAGCCGAUCCUCUCCACCCUGCCUUUUUGAAAACCUCACCUCCUCCCCGGCCUCCGCGCCGGGCUGGCUUACUUGAAAAAACCUUGCAGUUAUAGUCUAUUCAGUUAUUUUAAACAAAAUUACAACUUUCAACAAUGGAUCUCUUGGCUCUG
Molecule: unclassified non-coding RNA, 234 nt
Filed under: Torula hollandica
Lineage: Eukaryota; Fungi; Ascomycota; Dothideomycetes; Pleosporales; Torulaceae
Description: partial internal transcribed spacer region
Rfam family: Eukaryotic small subunit ribosomal RNA (bases 1-46)
Source: RNAcentral